This is a long non-coding RNA of Nannospalax galili (Upper Galilee mountains blind mole rat), 349 nucleotides long. RefSeq lists it as uncharacterized. The record is from RefSeq and is a predicted model, not a curated record. The transcript has 4 exons. NCBI's taxonomy places the organism in Eukaryota, Metazoa, Chordata, Mammalia, Rodentia, Spalacidae.
CUGCGGGAGGCGGUGGCGGUAGGAAGCCAGAGGCAGCGGGGUGACAGGGCUGAGAACUCAACAGACACUUAUUCUCAGACCUUUACCAGGUGUGAAUUUCUGCACUGACUGCUGACCACUGAAGAAAGAAGCUUCUCUGGCCAAGGUUGAGGAGAGCACUAAUACGUAGAGUUGGAAAAUAUUUAACUCUCAACAAAUGAAUUCCAUACUUGAAUUCUGCAGCAUUCCUGUGCCACCUCCUCCUUUAGAAAACCUAUCUUAAAACAGAGAUAAAAGAAGAAUAGAAGGUAAAGAAAGAUGCUGGGAUCAGAUCGUGGUGUUGUGGAAGAAUGGUUGUCGGAAUUCAAGG